AUAUCGACAACCUUCACAGCUUGAUCAUCGACUCCUUCGUCUUCACCCCCUUCCUCACCCGAUGGAUUCUGUUGGUGCAGGAAUUAGCACCUCCGACAAUACCAAUUUAAACCAAGGAAUAACAUGAAUAAAAUCGAGAAUUCGAUUGAACCGGGGAAUCCCGGUUAGCCUGUUAAUGGGCCUAAGUCAUGAGCUCGCCAGAAGAUUUAGGUCGACAAUCGAGAUCGCCAUAGGCGGCUUCUGAGGUCGUGUGAAGGGAAAACUUCCAUUUAAAAGAGGGGAAUCUCAUGAAGAAUGGAAGUAAUGGAGAUUUAGACCUAAGAUAAUUAGAAGUUUAUCAUAUUUUGGUAUGUUCGACCCAUUGUAUAAAUAGGGGGGGGUCAAACUCCCCAAAGGAUCAUCUUUAACCUAAUACAAGAGACUACGAUUAUAGAGCAAACCCUAGCUUUCUGUUCAAACAACUUUGUUCUUUCCCUUUGAUUAUUUGUGAGCUAAGAGAGGAGUGAAUUUGUCUAAAUCCCUUAGUACAAAUUCAUUGUUUGAUUACAAAAUCAACAGAUUCGCACCUAUGUCAAAAUCCAUAGCUCCUUUCACAACCCACU
This 602-nucleotide small RNA is filed under the name Arabidopsis thaliana (thale cress). RNAcentral's name for it is "ATSL132420". The record is from RNAcentral. Lineage: Eukaryota; Viridiplantae; Streptophyta; Magnoliopsida; Brassicales; Brassicaceae.